AGAGGUGGCGGCAGCUACACAUGCAGUCGAGCGGUAGCACAGAGAGCUUGCUCUCGGGUGACGAGCGGCGGACGGGUGAGUAAUGUCUGGGAAACUGCCUGAUGGAGGGGGAUAACUACUGGAAACGGUAGCUAAUACCGCAUAACGUCGCAAGACCAAAGUGGGGGACCUUCGGGCCUCAUGCCAUCAGAUGUGCCCAGAUGGGAUUAGCUAGUAGGUGGGGUAACGGCUCACCUAGGCGACGAUCCCUAGCUGGUCUGAGAGGAUGACCAGCCACACUGGAACUGAGACACGGUCCAGACUCCUACGGGAGGCAGCAGUGGGGAAUAUUGCACAAUGGGCGCAAGCCUGAUGCAGCCAUGCCGCGUGUGUGAAGAAGGCCUUCGGGUUGUAAAGCACUUUCAGCGGGGAGGAAGGCGGUGAGGUUAAUAACCUUGUCGAUUGACGUUACCCGCAGAAGAAGCACCGGCUAACUCCGUGCCAGCAGCCGCGGUAAUACGGAGGGUGCAAGCGUUAAUCGGAAUUACUGGGCGUAAAGCGCACGCAGGCGGUCUGUCAAGUCGGAUGUGAAAUCCCCGGGCUCAACCUGGGAACUGCAUUCGAAACUGGCAGGCUAGAGUCUUGUAGAGGGGGGUAGAAUUCCAGGUGUAGCGGUGAAAUGCGUAGAGAUCUGGAGGAAUACCGGUGGCGAAGGCGGCCCCCUGGACAAAGACUGACGCUCAGGUGCGAAAGCGUGGGGAGCAAACAGGAUUAGAUACCCUGGUAGUCCACGCCGUAAACGAUGUCGAUUUGGAGGUUGUGCCCUUGAGGCGUGGCUUCCGGAGCUAACGCGUUAAAUCGACCGCCUGGGGAGUACGGCCGCAAGGUUAAAACUCAAAUGAAUUGACGGGGGCCCGCACAAGCGGUGGAGCAUGUGGUUUAAUUCGAUGCAACGCGAAGAACCUUACCUGGUCUUGACAUCCACAGAACUUUCCAGAGAUGGAUUGGUGCCUUCGGGAACUGUGAGACAGGUGCUGCAUGGCUGUCGUCAGCUCGUGUUGUGAAAUGUUGGGUUAAGUCCCGCAACGAGCGCAACCCUUAUCCUUUGUUGCCAGCGGUUCGGCCGGGAACUCAAAGGAGACUGCCAGUGAUAAACUGGAGGAAGGUGGGGAUGACGUCAAGUCAUCAUGGCCCUUACGACCAGGGCUACACACGUGCUACAAUGGCAUAUACAAAGAGAAGCGACCUCGCGAGAGCAAGCGGACCUCAUAAAGUAUGUCGUAGUCCGGAUUGGAGUCUGCAACUCGACUCCAUGAAGUCGGAAUCGCUAGUAAUCGUAGAUCAGAAUGCUACGAUGGAUUGAGCUACAAUGGCAUAU
This 1357-nucleotide ribosomal RNA is filed under the name Klebsiella pneumoniae. RNAcentral's name for it is "bacterial SSU rRNA". It matches the Rfam family "Bacterial small subunit ribosomal RNA", at positions 32 to 1384 of the family's 1533-position model. Lineage: Bacteria; Pseudomonadati; Pseudomonadota; Gammaproteobacteria; Enterobacterales; Enterobacteriaceae. The record is from RNAcentral.